Molecule: ribosomal RNA, 742 nt
Filed under: Tylencholaimellus zeinabadensis
Lineage: Eukaryota; Metazoa; Nematoda; Enoplea; Dorylaimida; Tylencholaimellidae
Description: LSU rRNA
Rfam family: Eukaryotic large subunit ribosomal RNA
Source: RNAcentral
GGGCGUGAACCGCUUAGAAGAAAACGGACGGAGCCGUCAGGGGCCCUUGGGAAUCAGUCUAGCGACUCGUGAAACUGCCGCGGUACCAGAACGCAAGUCUGGCCGUAGUAUGUUAGUAGCGAUCGUUUGAUGCAUUUUCUAAGGGUUUGCACUGUAACCGAUACUGGAGGCCGGUGAAUUGAUUGGUUUGAGGUCGAGACCCGCAAGGGUUUCGUUUCCAGGCCUUUUGAAUGCAUCGCCGGACCGAAUUAUGUAUCGAAAGCCUAGUAAGAUUACAUCGGCCGCAAGGUUCACUCUGUAGUGGAUAGUCGAUAGUUCUGUUAGUAGUUGCUUGCAAUUGCUAGCGAAUUUCGUCGGCUCAGAAGCUACUAGUGACAUUUCGAUGUAUUGGCGUUGACAGUGUCAGUGUCGGCCACCCAUCCGACCCGUCUUGAAACACGGACCAAGGAGUCUAACAUAUGCGCGAGUCAAUGAGUGGAAAACUCAAAGGCGCAAUGAAAGUAAACGCUGUCUCUGGCAGCCAAGGUACGAUCAUUGGGUUAAUAGCCUGGUGCGCAGUACCGUCCCAUCUCGACUGCUCGUCAGUGGGGUGGAGAUAGAGUGCAUACGUUGGGACCCGAAAGAUGGUGAACUAUGCCUGAGCAGAGCGAAGCCAGAGGAAACUCUGGUGGAGGUUCGUAGCGGUUCUGACGUGCAAAUCGAUCGUCAGACUUGGGUAUAGGGGCGAAAGACUAAUCGAACC